RNAcentral lists this ribosomal RNA (2110 nucleotides) under Salmonella enterica. RNAcentral describes it as "partial 23S ribosomal RNA". It matches the Rfam family "Bacterial large subunit ribosomal RNA", at positions 711 to 2802 of the family's 2925-position model. Lineage: Bacteria; Pseudomonadati; Pseudomonadota; Gammaproteobacteria; Enterobacterales; Enterobacteriaceae. The record is from RNAcentral. RNAcentral also lists the same sequence under 1 other name.
AGACCCGAAACCCGGUGAUCUAGCCAUGGGCAGGUUGAAGGUUGGGUAACACUAACUGGAGGACCGAACCGACUAAUGUUGAAAAAUUAGCGGAUGACCUGUGGCUGGGGGUGAAAGGCCAAUCAAACCGGGAGAUAGCUGGUUCUCCCCGAAAGCUAUUUAGGUAGCGCCUCGUGAAUUCAUCUCCGGGGGUAGAGCACUGUUUCGGCUAGGGGGCCAUCCCGGCUUACCAACCCGAUGCAAACUGCGAAUACCGGAGAAUGUUAUCACGGGAGACACACGGCGGGUGCUAACGUCCGUCGUGAAGAGGGAAACAACCCAGACCGCCAGCUAAGGUCCCAAAGUCAUGGUUAAGUGGGAAACGAUGUGGGAAGGCCCAGACAGCCAGGAUGUUGGCUUAGAAGCAGCCAUCAUUUAAAGAAAGCGUAAUAGCUCACUGGUCGAGUCGGCCUGCGCGGAAGAUGUAACGGGGCUAAACCAUGCACCGAAGCUGCGGCAGCGACACUAUGUGUUGUUGGGUAGGGGAGCGUUCUGUAAGCCUGUGAAGGUGGCCUGUGAGGGUUGCUGGAGGUAUCAGAAGUGCGAAUGCUGACAUAAGUAACGAUAAAGCGGGUGAAAAGCCCGCUCGCCGGAAGACCAAGGGUUCCUGUCCAACGUUAAUCGGGGCAGGGUGAGUCGACCCCUAAGGCGAGGCCGAAAGGCGUAGUCGAUGGGAAACGGGUUAAUAUUCCCGUACUUGGUGUUACUGCGAAGGGGGGACGGAGAAGGCUAUGUUGGCCGGGCGACGGUUGUCCCGGUUUAAGCGUGUAGGUGUGUGUUCCAGGUAAAUCCGGUUCACUUUAACACUGAGGCGUGAUGACGAGGCACUACGGUGCUGAAGCAACAAAUGCCCUGCUUCCAGGAAAAGCCUCUAAGCAUCAGGUAACAUCAAAUCGUACCCCAAACCGACACAGGUGGUCAGGUAGAGAAUACCAAGGCGCUUGAGAGAACUCGGGUGAAGGAACUAGGCAAAAUGGUGCCGUAACUUCGGGAGAAGGCACGCUGACAUGUAGGUGAAGUGAUUUACUCAUGGAGCUGAAGUCAGUCGAAGAUACCAGCUGGCUGCAACUGUUUAUUAAAAACACAGCACUGUGCAAACACGAAAGUGGACGUAUACGGUGUGACGCCUGCCCGGUGCCGGAAGGUUAAUUGAUGGGGUCAGCGCAAGCGAAGCUCCUGAUCGAAGCCCCGGUAAACGGCGGCCGUAACUAUAACGGUCCUAAGGUAGCGAAAUUCCUUGUCGGGUAAGUUCCGACCUGCACGAAUGGCGUAAUGAUGGCCAGGCUGUCUCCACCCGAGACUCAGUGAAAUUGAACUCGCUGUGAAGAUGCAGUGUACCCGCGGCAAGACGGAAAGACCCCGUGAACCUUUACUAUAGCUUGACACUGAACAUUGAGCCUUGAUGUGUAGGAUAGGUGGGAGGCUUUGAAGUGUGGACGCCAGUCUGCAUGGAGCCGACCUUGAAAUACCACCCUUUAAUGUUUGAUGUUCUAACGUGGACCCGUAAUCCGGGUUGCGGACAGUGUCUGGUGGGUAGUUUGACUGGGGCGGUCUCCUCCUAAAGAGUAACGGAGGAGCACGAAGGUUGGCUAAUCCUGGUCGGACAUCAGGAGGUUAGUGCAAUGGCAUAAGCCAGCUUGACUGCGAGCGUGACGGCGCGAGCAGGUGCGAAAGCAGGUCAUAGUGAUCCGGUGGUUCUGAAUGGAAGGGCCAUCGCUCAACGGAUAAAAGGUACUCCGGGGAUAACAGGCUGAUACCGCCCAAGAGUUCAUAUCGACGGCGGUGUUUGGCACCUCGAUGUCGGCUCAUCACAUCCUGGGGCUGAAGUAGGUCCCAAGGGUAUGGCUGUUCGCCAUUUAAAGUGGUACGCGAGCUGGGUUUAGAACGUCGUGAGACAGUUCGGUCCCUAUCUGCCGUGGGCGCUGGAGAACUGAGGGGGGCUGCUCCUAGUACGAGAGGACCGGAGUGGACGCAUCACUGGUGUUCGGGUUGUCAUGCCAAUGGCACUGCCCGGUAGCUAAAUGCGGAAGAGAUAAGUGCUGAAAGCAUCUAAGCACGAAACUUGCCCCGA